AUCUUUGCGCUUGGAUGACGUAGCUAGUGAGGUAAAACCGAGGCACAUCAAUUGUUGGUUGAAAAUUAUUUCCAACCCCUCUCGUUGGCCUAGGCUACGAUAUGGACUUCGAGAAUUUGUGGAGGGUCUGCCUUUGGC
Picea glauca (white spruce) is the source of this 138-nucleotide non-coding RNA. Lineage: Eukaryota; Viridiplantae; Streptophyta; Pinopsida; Pinales; Pinaceae. The record is from Rfam.